CUGAAAAAUUUCUAUAGUCCUCGGUGGUUCUUCCUCUUCAGAUUUACCUCGUGUUUCCCUCCAUCCAGUCCAGACCCUGCACCAGGUAAGUCCCGAGAAUGUGUACACGCGUGCACACCUUUCACUUUCUGCAAACACUUUGUGAAGUUAAUUAAUGGCCCAGAAAUAAGCACAUCAAGGAGAUGCCCCAGGACCACGUCCUUGCUUCUCUCUCAUCUUUCUGCUUCCAUGUCUCUGGCAAGAACCAGCCACUCCUCUCCAGGCCUCUGGGGUUAGGGGCAGCCAGGUCUGAUCUUCAGCUUGUACCUUAAAGAAGUUCAUCAAAGACAAUUUUUCUAAAAAAAAUAUAGCAAUGCUCCAUAGAGAAGGAGUCUCCUGAAAGCAUUUGAUCCUUGUUAUUCCACUUCAUAACCAGAAAGGGCCUCAAUGUCCAAGUGCAGGAAGCUCCCUAGGACCAGACGCCCCUGCAAAUUUGGGUCUCAUCCCUUCCAUCCUCUCCUCUAUUUUCUGUGGGUUGGUCCUUCGAUCCCAUCUCCCCAGCCCUCUCUCUGCUCCUCAGGUGGGGAUACCCAAGUCUAUCUGGCCAUAUGAGCAUUAGUAUGGCAUGGGACUUCCUUGAGACUCUUAAUGGCCUGCCAUGGGUUCCUGCCCACUGCACGCAUAUUUUAAGUGGACAGGAGGAUGUGGAAUGUCUUCUUGAUACAAGAUGCUGGCCACGCUCUGCAGCCCUGGAGAGGCCCUUGGCCUCGAGUAGAUGCUUGGAAAGUCCACUGAGCUAUGUCCUCACAGGGGCGCCUGUGGUCAGUCCUUCGGCCUCCCUUCCACCCACCCAUGUGCUCAGAGCCAGGGAAUAAGUGACCAACAAGUAAAGACAAGUUCCUGUCACUCUCCCCAAAUGCUCACACUGUUUGGAAUCCAGUCUGAGUGCAUGGACCACACACCUUCAAAUCCAACUGGCCCGACUCGCUCCUUCCAAACUCUGCAAACCAGAAUAAAUACACUCAUUUUAAGGCAUGGUCAUGUAAGCAAACAAAAUGUUCAUACUCAGGGCUGGGGCUAUGAUUUGAGAAUCAGUUCAGUUCAGUCACUCAGUCAUGUCUGACUCUUUGCGACCCCAUGGACUGCAGCACGCCAGGCCUCCCUGUCCAUCACCAACUCCCAGAGUUUACUCAGACUCAUGUCCAUUGAAUCAGAUUUGAGAAUAGAUCUGGGAAUUAGAGACAUAAAGCUUUCUCUUGAAAAAUAUCCACCCAUAUCUGUUUCUAAAUCUUUCAAAAGCUGUGCAGGAGCAAAACUCUUGGCAAUAGUCAUUAAUAUAUAUGUUGCUUUCUUCAAAAGGAUUGCAUCUUUGCCUCAGCUGACUUAAUCAUGAGGAGAAGUCUUUUUGUUAGGAGAAAGAUGUGGUCAGUGUGUUUAAUUUUAGCUUUUCUAAUGGGUGUGUGAUCACAUUCCAUUAUGGGUUUGGUUUGUAAUUUCCUGAUGACUGGAGAAGGAAAUGGCAACCCACUCCAGUGUUCUUGCCUGGAGAAUCCCAGGGACAGGGGAGCCUGGUGGGCUGCCGUCUAUGGGGUCGCACAGAGUCGGACACGACUGAAGCGACUUAGCAGCAGCAGCAGCAGCAGAGAUGCUGAACACCUUUUCAUGAGAUUGUUAACUAAUCACGUAUUUUCUUUGGUGACAUGGCUAUAGAAGUCUGUGUCCAUCUUUAAAACUGAGUUUUAAAACUGAAAACUGAGUUUUUCAUUAUUUUCCCCUUUCGUUAUUGAUCUAAAGGAGUUCUUUCUGUAUUUUGGAUUUAAGUUCUUUGUUAGAUACUAUAUCGUGAUUAUUUUCUCCCAACAUGUGGCUUGUCUUUUCAUUUUCUUCAUAGCUUCCUCACUUGAGCUUUAGUUACGAUAAAACCAGUCUAUCCAUCUUGUUCUCUUACAAUUAAAGUUUUUGCGUCCUCUCAAAAAAAAGAAAAUGUAUUUGCUUACCCCAGAGCCACUAAGAUAUGUGCCUCUGUUUUCUUCCAAUAACUGUAAUGUUCAAUCUGUGAUCAACCUCAGGUCAUUUUUGUGCAGGUUGUGGGGUUGGUACUGAGGCUCAGGGCUUCCACGUGGAGUUGUUAGGAAAACUCUCCAUCAAAUUGCCUGGGAACUCUUAGUAAAAGCCAGUGUAUUAACAUAUUUAGGGCUUCCCUGGCGGCUCAGUGGUGAAGAAUCCACCUGCAAUGCAGUAGAUGCAGGUUUGAUCCUUGGGUCAGGAAGAUCCCUUGGAGGAGGAAAUGGCAACCCACUCCAGUAUUCUUGUCUGGAGAACUCCAUGGACAGAGUUGCCUGGCGGGUUACAGUCCAUAGAGGUAGCAACGAGUUGGAUGUGACUUAGCAGCUGAACAACAACAACAGUCUGGAGGCUCUCUAUUGCAUUCUUCUGAUCUCUUUGUCCAAAGAUGAAUAAACUUACUCUGUAAAGGGCCAGCCAGAGAGUAUUUUAGGUUUUGCUGGCCACGUGGUCUCGGUUGCAAAGACUCACAUCUCUCCAUGUGGUGUGAGGUAUGGCUGUGUUCUGAAACUUCCGUAAUGGACACAGAAAGGUGAAUUUCAUGUUAUUUCUGUGUGUCACAAUAUACCAUUCUUCUUUCGAUUUUGUCAAACUUUUAAAAAUGUGAAAGUCUCUCUUGUAACUGUA
This is a long non-coding RNA of Bos taurus (domestic cattle), 2670 nucleotides long. Lineage: Eukaryota; Metazoa; Chordata; Mammalia; Artiodactyla; Bovidae. The record is from Ensembl.